AGUGAGAUAGCUAAGUGGCUAAAAGUAUUAGCAGUGCUAGCCUGAAGACCUGGGUUCAAUCCCCAGUCCUACAU
Molecule: transfer RNA, 74 nt
Filed under: Neotoma lepida (desert woodrat)
Lineage: Eukaryota; Metazoa; Chordata; Mammalia; Rodentia; Cricetidae
Rfam family: tRNA
About the family: Transfer RNA (tRNA) molecules are approximately 80 nucleotides in length. Their secondary structure includes four short double-helical elements and three loops (D, anti-codon, and T loops). Further hydrogen bonds mediate the characteristic L-shaped molecular structure. tRNAs have two regions of fundamental functional importance: the anti-codon, which is responsible for specific mRNA codon recognition, and the 3' end, to which the tRNAs corresponding amino acid is attached (by aminoacyl-tRNA synthetases). tRNAs cope with the degeneracy of the genetic code in two manners: having more than one tRNA (with a specific anti-codon) for a particular amino acid; and 'wobble' base-pairing, i.e. permitting non-standard base-pairing at the 3rd anti-codon position.
Source: Rfam by way of RNAcentral